RNAcentral lists this ribosomal RNA (253 nucleotides) under uncultured bacterium. RNAcentral describes it as "partial 16S ribosomal RNA". It matches the Rfam family "Bacterial small subunit ribosomal RNA", at positions 524 to 776 of the family's 1533-position model. The record is from RNAcentral.
UACAGAGGUCUCAAGCGUUGUUCGGAUUCAUUGGGCGUAAAGGGCGCGUAGGCGGCGGGGUAAGUCGGGUGUGAAAUCUCAGGGCUCAACCCUGAAACUGCACUCGAUACUGCUCUGCUUGAGGACUGGAGAGGAGACUGGAAUUCACGGUGUAGCAGUGAAAUGCGUAGAGACCGGGAAGAACACCAGUGGCGAAGGCGGCUACCUGGACAGGUACUGACGCUGAAGCGCGAAAGCUAGGGGAGCAAACAGG